UGUUCUCUUAGUGGAUAGUCAAUUAAUAUGUUGUAUCUUUUGAGAAAGAAAUUAGUAUCAAGUAAUUAUCACAACAAAAAGUUAAAUAUUUAGGCAAAUAAGAGUUCGGUUGUUUCGAUAUUUGUGACAUAAAUUUUUUUCUUGAUAUAAUAUGAUACUUAAUAGUCAUCUUAUACAAAAAUUUUAUAUAGAUACUAUUUAACAUAAAGUUUCAUAUUAAUUGUUCAUACUGUAAAUUUUUUAUAAUUAUUUUCCUAGUUGAAUAUGAAUCAAGGUUACUUGAAUACCUCAUUAUUUGGACAUUAUUAAAAAAUGUAGUUACUUAUGAUGAUUUAGGCUAUUCCACAUUAAUGUCAAUUCACUUAUUACUGUUUUUCCUAGUUGAAUAUGAAUCAAGGUAACUUGAAUACCAUACUAUUUGGACAUUGUUAAAAAUUUUAAUUACUUUUAAUGAUUUAGGUUACUUUACAUUGAUGUCAUUCACUGACCAUUAUUCUUUGUACUAUCUACUUAUUGACUUUUUGUAAGAAAAUACAUAUUGUUUGUUUGAAAAAAAAAAUGAAUAGUUUUAAAUUUGACCAUAUCAUGAUGCAUCAUACUUGUAGUACUUUUACAUGAUAAUAUUAAUGUAUUUAUAUCAUAACUAUAAUUUGAUAGGCUAAAAACCUCCCUAACAUUUUACCAUUAAUGAUAUACAAUACACAUGUGGUAAAUAUAAAAAUUCAAUACAUAAAUCUGCAACUACAUAUUUAUAAUGUAUUACACCAACUCAAUUUUGUUAAAAUAUGAUUAACAUCUUCAUCCACUAGAUGCACUCUUUUUUGAAUAAGUUCUUCUACUUCUUCAUACUUGCUACUAUCCCCAGAUUCUUUAAGGGGUGAUUAUUUAAAGAAAUGACAAUCAUGUUUACUAUCGACAUAAUGACAACAAAAAUAUAACCUGUUCAAGUUAUCAUUUCACUCUAAAAUCCUAACAAUUGCCCUUUGUAUAAGUACAAAUCUGCACAUACAAUCACAACAUACUAGAUAUUUACCUCAUCUUCCAUUACUUCUAAUAUUCCUAAAUGACAAUACUUGAAGAUGUCAUGAUAUCUACAUUAUUGAAUACCCAAAAUUAAUUUAUUAAAUUUAAGAAAUUUGGAUUAAAAUAACACCAUGAAAUUACUCAUCAAGAUAAAAUAUUUAGUCACCUACCAUGACCUAUAUUAUUAUAUAUAUAAAAAAAAGGAUGAUAAUCAUAAUAAAUUGAAAAUGUCUUAUGUUGUAAAGAAAUGUAUUUAUUGUGCAUAAGACAUGCUAGGGAGUAUAGCAUAAUAAUCCUCAAUUGUGAAUUCAUAAAAGAAUUAAAUAAUUUCUAAAUUAGGUUAUAUUAUAAUAUACCAUAACAUUCGUAUAUUUAUAUAGUAAAUAUAGUGCAUUGUGCUAUACUUAUAUUUUAUAAUGAAGGUAAUAAUUUUAGAGAUAUCCAUUAAUACUGUAUUGUCGUUUGGUAUUAAUAGAUUAGAUCGAUAUAUGAGUAUCAUUCACUUAAUGCUUUGAAAUUAUUUAAUAAUUUUUAUAAAAAAAAAUAUUGAAAAACCUUGUGAAUUGAGAUCGAUAUUUUAUUUGGUUUUAAGAUUGGUUAAUAAUAGAAUACAUGCUAAGGUAUAUAGUAUAAUCACACAAAAUUGUAAGUCCUAUAAAAUGAUUCAAAACCUUUUAUAUGAGGUCUUGUCGUAAUAUUUUGUAACAUUGGUAUAUUUAUAUUGUAGUAUAGUGUAUUUGUGUUGUACUUAUAAUUUAAAACAAAAUUAAUAGGCUUAAAGAUAUUUUUUUAUACUUUAUUGGCAUCUAAUAUAUCAUAUGAGCGUAUUAACAUCUAAUAUAUCUUUUGGGUCCUUAGCAUCUACAACCAACCUUAUUUGGUAAUUUUUUUAAAUUCUAUAUAAAAAAUAUAAAUAUAUCUUUAUCUUUAAAAAUCACUAUAAAAUUUUAAAAUUUGAGGCAUUAAUUUUUUUUUUGAUACUUUAAUUCUCUUAAAAAGUUUUUAAAACCAUUUACUAUUUUAUAAUUUUAAAAACAAAAAAUAAAAAGUGUAUCCAAAUGAACACCUAAUUUGCCAUGACAAAUAUCAAAUAAAAAUAAAAGUAUAAAUUAUUUUAUAAAUUAAAUACUUUCAACAUCUUAUGUUUGUGAUAAAAAAAAUACAAAAGCAUAGUAUAAUACAAACUAAUGACUUCAAACUCAUGGUUUGUUUCCUCUUCUUUCUCCUUUUCCUUUGGAAUAAAAAUUGAAGAUCAAUUUUACGAGUUCACAUUGAAUUAUUUAAUUCUUAAUUUAUUUGAUGAUUUUUUAUUUGUUAAUUGUUUUAGGAAUAAAAAGUAAAUAUUUAAAAUAAAAUAAUUUAUAAAAGAUUGGUGCUACAUAUAUGUCAUAUUUUUACCAUAAUUUUUAUCAGAAUUUUACUAUCUUGUAAUUAUAAAUAAAUAAAAAUUAGAUAUAAUAAAAAAAUAUUUAUUUAUUAAUUAAAAAUAAUUUUCCACAUCCAAUCAUCACUUAUCUCCUUAUUAGGUGAUAAAAAUAACAGUACAAGUGAUGAGUCACAUGGUCUGACCAAUGUUUUUCUUCAUUAAAUUAUUUAAUCAAAAUAAUCAAAAUAAUUUAAUAAAUUAGUUUUAAUUUAAACAUUUUUUGGACACUCAACUAUACCAUUUUAAUGAUAUAUUUUAUUUUAUUUAUUUUUAAAUUAUUCAUAUAGUAUGGUUUGAGUAGAAAAUUUGAAAUUUGAAUAGAAUAGGGAGAUUAUAAGUCAAAGGCCAUUGAGUGCAGUGUAGAGGAGUGGAGGUGUAAGUGAUGUAAGGGCCAAGCUUGAAGUCAUUGAAAGUCUUUCCAGCUAUAUUUCUAUUUUUGGUAAGUUUGUGUGAGUGUUGAAGAAGUGUAUUUUAAGCCAUAAUGAUAUCAUUACCUUUUCUUUUUAAUAAAAAUAUAAGUUUUUUUUUUUUUGCCCUAGGCUUUCCUCAAUCAUGUCACUUGCUACUCAUGAUAUAUAGGAUGAAGUAAUUAAAAGUGGAGUUUAGUUUGAUCCUUUAUUAUAUAUAAGCUAAAUAUUGUAUUUUAAGAAAUUUUUUAUCAAGUUAGAAUAAUGAUUUUUUUUUUUUUGGUUAGAUUUGAGGAAUUUUUAUUACAAGUGAGACAUAAAUUUCCCAAUUUAUUUAAAUUCAUCAUUAUUUAUCUUCUUCACGAGAAACAUAGUCUUAAAAGAAGACUUUGUUUUUAUUUUAAUAAUAAUAAUAAUAAUAAUAAUUCUUACCCAUAGAAGAUAUAGAUUUUCAAUCAAUCUACUAAAUUUUGUUACCCUAGGCCAAUAGCAAGCAUUGUACUCAAAAUUAUGUUAUGUUAAUUGGUGUCCUUAAUCUAUAUGCUAAUUGGAUCGGUGACCUACUAUCCGUUAUCAAGAUUAUCUUUCAAAUCCUUGAGUUAUAGAUCCUAUUUAUUAUUUGAUUAAUUGACAUAUUUUAACUCCAAUGAGCAUAUGUCAAACUAAGUUCUUAAAAUAAAUUCAAAUCAAAUUCAAUGUUCAAAUAUGGAUUUAAAGAGAUCGAAUUUUAACAUAAAAGAAUAUCUUAUUUUGAAAUCAAUGGUCUUGUCAAGAUAAACUCACAUCUAAAGAUCGAUCUUAAUCUAACUACAAAAUCAAAUUUCAAAUACAACAAAUCAGGUUGAUUAUGUUUUGUUCUUAUUCUUAGAAUUUAGUCCUUAUUUAUCUUCAAGUUUAGCCUUAAUUUUGCUUACAAAUGAUCAAAAUGAAUUAUCAAUGAAUUAAAUCACAGAGAUAAGCAUUCACCAAACCAAUUCUAGUAUCAAUUGUUCUAGAUUAAGGGAUAUCUUAUAGAGGGUUUAUAUAGUAGAUAUGAUUACCAAAAACAUAGUAUAAAGGAAAUUAAAUAAAUAAGGACUCUUCUUUCUUGAAGAUUUAUGCCUUCUUGAUCUUUUUUUUGCAAAAGGAAGUAUUUAGCCACAUAUAAUGACAAUUUCACAUAAUUUCUCUAUAUUUGAUCAUCAAGAAAAUGAAAGAAAACUAUAAAUAAAAUGGAGGAAAAGAGAAAAUUUUGAAUUGCAACUCAAAUUCAAAAAGUGGAGAGAAAUCCUAAGGUUUUUCUAUCAUCUAAUUAACUCCUACUUAUAGAAGAAUAUUAGGACAAUCGACAAUCCCAUAAACUACCCAAAAAUGCCUCUUAAGCAUUCGAAUAUUCUAGAAAAGCAAUAGAACUCUCAAGUACAGGUUCAACGUACAAAAAUUGUUUAAAUCAAUUUUCAAAAGGCUAUUACAGCAAAAUUUGUCAUACCAUUCACUACUUCAGUAUUAGAAAAGCUACCCUGUACCUAAAUCACUUUUGAUCUUGAAAUUGUUGCCUUUAGGAAUCAAUUUGAAACUUAUUCCAACUACUUCAAGUAGUAUCUCCCAGUGCAGUUCACUUUCAUCAUCUUCAAAAUAAUUUUUAAUCAAUUUUUUAUAUUUGAAAUCAAUUUAACUACCUUGCGGAGUAACAUGAAAGCAAUUCCAAAACUGAUUUUAUAGUCAAAUCGAUUUACAAAUUAGUUUAGUGUUACUUCAAAACCUAUGCUUCAUCCUCUUCUCACUUGCUUCCAUUGACCUUUUUGUCUCAUUAAAUUCUUUUAAAUUUAAGGAUUAAAAUUUGUCAUCUUCAUUGCAUCUUACACUCACAUGCACAUUAGUCCAUCAUAUCGGCACUUAGCAUCGCUUUGAGCUAUAGUUGAAGUAAUUAAACACUACAUAUAGAGCAUAAAACUCAAUCUUUUAGUGCUCAAUUUUUUUGAAUGAAUCAAACCCCUCUUGUUAGAUACAAAGUUGAACUUGACAAACUAAACCUUGAGAGCUCCAUUUAUAUAUGUUUAUGAACAACCUAAAAAAAUGCAACGAAAUGGAUAUUAAACUCACUUGAAAACUGAAUUGAAUAUUAAAAACUCAAAACCAAAUUUAGAAAUAAAUUUUAUGCAAAAGUAAAAAUGUGUAAAGAAUUAACUCUAAAAAAGAUAAAUACAAAAGAAAACCUAAGUAAAUGUACUAAAAAUUAGAUUUAGUUAUAAAUAAAAAGGAAAUAAAGGAAAAAUACCCACUAUCCUUUUAUCUUUUUUCCUAAGAAUACUAAACAUUCCAUGGAUGUGAGAUUUUCUCAAUUUUUAGGGGAACUCAUAUUCAAGAAAAUUAAGAUUUCUUUAAGUUAUGCUUGUCCAAAUAUUACAAUCUUAUACUUCAACAUAAGAAACUAUUUUUUAAAUUAAGAUACUUGUGACCCUAAAUUAAGGAUUUUGCUCCAUGCAAAUUCACCACCAAAAAGUUAUCUAUCACACUUUUCCAUGAUUUUCAAAUAUGCUUGUUAUACUAGCACAUAGGUAAACUUAUUAUUGUUUUGCCUACCAUUUUAAGUGAAUGCCUAAGGUCCUUGUAUGCUAUCCAUGGGAUAUGGAAGAAGUUCUCUUACGCUUCUUAGAAAGUAGUCUCAAAACUUUUCUAAACAUCUGUAUGAAACAAGUAGUUUUAAAGUAUACUAGAAGAUAAAUGUAUCAAAUAUUAAAGGAAAUAUCAUAUAUUUUUAUCACAAUAAGCUUUAAGGUGAUGAUAUUACCUUCACUUGUUUGCUCUACUUGAUGUAUUGUCACUCAUUAAAAAAGAUGUCUUCAAUGACAAUCUCCUUCUUUCUCCAAGAGAAUGGUCACUAAGAUGUUUCUAUUACUUUGAAGUGUAGAGUUCUCCUAUAACAUUUCCUUCAAGGGUGCUUAAUAGUGAGAUAUUCAAAUGUUUCAUGUCUGUUUGAGUUGAGAACAUACUUAAGGAGUACCACCUACGUUUAAUACACUUCAAGGUGAGUUUUGUCUUCCGUGUUCCAUGCAUAGUUUGAGGAUCUUACUUUGAUGCUAGAGUAAUAGGUAUGUUAAGAAGAAAUAGUUUAAAUAAUGGCGACCUUGAUUGGACCAAAUUAAAAUCUAAGACAAGGACCUUGAUUGAUCAUAGGACAUAUGUUAUUUUCACCACAUUUUCCUCAAAAGAACCUUUAUGAGGCUUGUAACCCAACUAGAACAUAGUAAGGGGGAAAAAAAACCUUAGAAGGUUUGAUAAUUAAUCAUUAGUAACCCUUAAGUCUUAAACCACCAUAAAAAAUUCUAAGAAUUUUUAGGGUACGUACCUCCAUUUAAGAAACCUCUUUUAAGAUACUAUUUAUAUACCUACCAACUUUUGAUUAGUUUGCCUCUCUUGCCUCCUAAAUUUAGGCACCUCACCAUUUACUUAUCUACUAUAACCUUACCUAGACAUGGACCAAGAGGUAUAAACCUAACUCUGCUCUGUUUCCUAUAAUAUCAUGAGAAUGCCAUUCUAAAAGUAAAAAAGAAAGCUUCAUCACUCUUAUCAUAACCACAAAAACUAAGAAUGUUCCUACACUUUCUCUUUCCCUCAUUUUAUUCUCAUCAUAAGUAAAAAUAAAUUCACCUUUUGAUUUAAAGGCUAACUACACAAAAAGGGAAGACUCACUAGGUGUAUAAACCCAAGUACUUCUCUUUGAUAUCCUAUUUUAAUCAGCAAAGCAUUCUAACAUAGAAAAAAAAAACAUUAGAUCUAAUAUUCUUAUACCAUAGAAAGUAAUUAAAAAGCAAGUAAACAAUGUAGGCAUACAAGGACACAUAAAGAUAUUUUAUCAUUUUGUUAUUUUUUUUUAGCUAGGAACACACUUUACACAAGGUGUACAUGAGCAUGCACCAAAUUAAAUUAUUAUGUUUUGUUAGUGAAAAAAAUGAUUAAGAUUCACUUUUGGAAGAAUUCUACUUAGUACCAUGAGUGCCAAGAAAAUCACUUAUUUCCACUGUUGCAUCUAUUUAUUUUUCAAUUGUUAUAUCAAAUUUUUUGGUUAACAAAUCACUCAAAUAAAAAACGAAAAAAGAAAAAAAAAAAGUUAGUACUCUUUUGAAUGGAUUUUUUGUUUUUUUGUUUUCAAAAAUAAAAAUCAAUAGUAACCCUUAUAAAAUAUGAGAACUCUUUGAAACUUACUUUAAAAAGACAAUGAUUUAAAAUUUUGAGGUAUUAAAUAAUUUUAAAAACAAAUAUUCAAAUGAAUAUUUAGAUAAAAACUUUUUAAGAAUGUCAUAGCAUUGAUAUUUAUAUAAAAUAACUAUAUAUGUAAAAUAUGGUCGAUCUCAAUCCUUUUUUCUAAUGUGACAUGAUUUAAUAUCAAGCUUAAGAUGUUAGGAAAUAUCUCUAAUGUAUAUGAAACUUAUUUAAGAUAGAGCUUCAAUACCACUUAUCUCAUGUAUUCCUCCCUUGCAUGUGAGUUUAAAUAUAAAUGAAGAAAAUAAAUAAGCAGUCAAAUCCAAACUCAUGAACUCUCGAGUUAAAAAUGGGGGUCUAAUUAAAAUUUCGAUAAAUAAAUGUUUGAUAAAUUAAUAAUCUCAUUUAAAUAAUAAAAUCUUCUUGCCCUAACUCAGUAUAGUGUGUAUUAAAUUAAUAACCUCUUGGUUCUAAAAGUAUUUUACAAGAGUUUCACUAUAGUGUCAUUUAUUUAUCCAAAAGUUCAUGUUUUUGGGUAUUAGGAAAAUGGAACUUAACCGGAAAUAAAGCUAAUAGGAACUUAACCUUAAACAAGGUCAAUGGGGACUCGACAAAGAUCACCACCAAAAACAAGGCUAAUAGGAACUUGAUUAGGAACAGGGUCAACAAGAGUUUGGCAAAGAACACGGCCAACAAGAAUUUCACCAUAAGCAAGGUGAGAAACAUGACCUAGAAUAAGACCAUUGAGAACUUGAACUCCAAUUCCAAAUAGGUAAGGGGUAUUGGGAACUGGAAUGGUUGCCUAACAUUCACAAACGAGUUAGGUUUGCAAAUUUCGCCUUCCAGGAAUGACUUUAGCUAAUAAAGAAGUUCUGAAAAUGCUUAGGAAACCACCUUUGAUCAUGUGGAUUGAAAUUAUAUAUUAUACACCCUUAAUCAACUUAUUAGGCAGACCAAAUCAUGGUUAACGGUCAUAAUUCAAUGUUCUCGAUUGUUGUACAGUAAUGGAGAGGGCAUGACAUGAGACCAGCCCAUUAAUCCAUACCAUUUGGCCAAGUGCUUGGGCUCCUUUACUUUCCAAUACUUGCAUUUUCCCUUUCUUUUUUGGGUCCUUGGCCUUUCACUUUCGUUCAGUAGACAGAUUUGUAUCUACAUUUCAAGGCUAAAAUAUUACCAACUUCCUCUUUGUGGGCAAUAAUUUACUUUUGGCAUCCCCCCCUAAAGAUGUACUUUGAAUAAACAAAACGGAAACAUGGAGAUUUCCUGCUCAUGAAAAUGUCACAGAAUUUGUAAUUUUGUUGGUUUCUUUGUGGUCCUUUGACUGUCCAAUAAGAUGCUGUCUUCUUGGAUGCUUGCAGAAGGGCCUUUGAGAAUAACUUCAGAUAUAUUUUAUAUUUCCUCCCACACUCUUGCCAUUAUCAAUGCCCUCAUUCUUCAUUAUUUUAAUAAUGAGCACAAUUAUCUCAAUCAUGCUCUAUUAUAAUCAUAUAGUACAACUAAACAUGUAGUAAAAGGCCCUUGAACUAUGGGGAAAAUAAAAGGGAAAGUAUGGCAUUUUUUGAGGGCAAGAUUCUUUGUGAGACCCUAGGAACGAUUUCUCUUGCUCUAUGGUUUCCUCAGACUUUUUCAACUGUUCACAUUGUCUAACCUAAUGUUGAGUUUGUUUUUGCUUUUGUUUUUGUGUUUUUCUUGUUUUUAUUUUUGUUUUUGUUUUCUUUUUUAAAGGCUAGACACUUUGUUCAGGACAGUCCUCUCUAUAUAUCUUAAUGAUUUGUGGUUAAAUUUUGCAGCAAGUACAUCAUCCAUCACAAAGCUUUCCACUUGCCUAUUUUUUGGUUCAUGAUUUAAAAUAUGAACUCCAUGGGGAGGGAUGCAAGCAUAUUUUGAGCUGUUUCUUAAAUAAAUAGGUAGAUUAGGUUCUACUUUUAUUUUUCAAAUUUUUUUUAGUCCAAAAUUUAAAAACAAUUUUAAAAAUUAUAUUUUGUGUCAUAUUUUAUAUUUUGUUUUAAAAUUUCAGAUCACCUGCAUGUUAUUCUUCUUCUAAAAUAGAAUUAUAUUUAGUAACAUAUUUUAUUUUCUUUUAAAUUUGAGAGAGAAAAAAAUAGAAAAAUUAAAGGUAUUAUCAAAUUUUAUUUUUUUUGAAAAAAAAAUAAGAAAUUACACUCAUGAGUCACCUGCAUCUUAUUCUUUUUUAUCAUACCAACAAUCUUAAUGUCUCACGAGUGAAUAUUUUAUUGAAAUAUUAUCGAAAGUCCCAAAGAAAAAAAGACCCAUAAAAAAUUUUCAAAAAAGUUUCUGUACUUGUUAUUUAAUUAUAAAAAAUAUUUCUUUUUUAUUUUUAAAAUAAAAAUAAAGUUUUAUUACUAAAAUCGUUUAUGCUUAUAAAAAGUAAAACCAUAAUUAAAAAUCAAUCUUAUUUUCUACUUUUGAAAUAUUAAAAACAAAAUUAUAUCCAAAUUAUACCCAAGUAGUGUAUAAGUACUUUCGAGUUUCAAUUAAGCCAUUAGGAGAAUACAAUCCUAAGAAUGUUAAGGGUGGGGUGGGGGGGCUUGUGGUUAUCCUAACAGCCAAGAGAUGCCCCUCGAAGCUAUCCUCUGAAUUUUGUGGAAUCCAUUUUGACCCAAGUUUGAGACUUGCUCUUUUGUUUUAAUUAGGCCAUGGGUGGCCCUCGUGUGUCAUGCAUUAAUGUUGUUGUGAAAUGAAUAUCCUCGUCAUGUUUCCCAAUGGGCCUUGAAGCCUAUUGAAUGAGCUUCACUUGGAACCAAUCCCAAUAAAACAAGCAAGCUGAAAGCCCAGAGAGAGGACUGAGAAGCAAGUAGAGCUUGGACCAACUUUGCUCAGCUAAGCAAAUAUUCUUCAGCUUCCCAAUGUGAGGAGCUAGCUAGCUGUACCACAAAAGGAACUAUGAAUUCAGGGCAGCAAUUCAAUUGCUUUCCUUUUUUUUUUAACUUGAACCUCGUUCUAAAACAGGCCCAUUACUUCUAUCAGCCUAUUAAAAGACAGACCAAGAACAUGUAAUUUUCGUUUGAUCAUAUAUAUUAAUUAAUUCAACCAGAUCAAAUUGUUCAUUUUGAUUUAUCUAAGCUGCCUAACAUGUCUCAUUUGAAUUGUGACACUUUAGCCAGCCAGCAUAAUCAUUCUGAAGUAUCAAGAUUUCAGGUUUUCUGAAUCCGUUGAGUUAUAAAGCCCUUGAAGAUGGAUUGAUGUCUUGUUCAAGUGCUGACAAUUUGGAUUUUUAAACUAACAUGAGUUAAUUCAAAAUUAAGUUGAAUCUAUUGGAUAAUGACCAAACAAUAUAUAUAUUAAUGUUUUAAGUUAUGAAUGGUAGCCGACUUUGCAUAUCAUGCCAAUUAAUACUAAGGAUAAGCCUUAAUCAACACAAAUUACUAUAUCAUUGGACUUGUGGGUGGAAUUGCUUGCAGAGAGAUUAGUCCUUGGAAUCCAAACCCUACAGCCACUGCAAUUAAUUCUAAUUAGGAAUAUAUUUCAAAAGGCGAAAAAAAUUAAUCACUAGCAUAAUAAGAGAACAAUUUGAAAAUUUUUCACAUUAACUAAUUAAGCUCCAAAUGCUCACACCAUUGUCCAUUGAUCAGUUUCUCAUCAGUUGUAACAAGACCUCACAAAUAUUUCUCAUCAACCAAACAAAUACUAUUCUGUCCAUGGAUCAAUUUCACUUGCCAGGAACAAAGUUUGUGGCAUAUGCCCAAGCAUUGUUGUUAACGGGGUCGGCAAGGUGGUCAGCCAAGUUCUCCAGUGGACCCUUUCCGGUGACAAUAGCCUGAACAAAGAAGCCAAACAUGGAAAACAUGGCCAGCCUCCCAUUCUUGAUCUCCUUCACCUUGAGCUCAGCAAAAGCCUCAGGGUCAUCAGCUAGCCCUAGUGGAUCAAAGCUUCCACCGGGGUAAAGGGGAUCGGUGACCUCCCCAAGUGGUCCUCCGGCAAUGCGGUAGCCCUCAACUGCGCCCAUCAGGAUCACCUGUGUGGCCCAAAUAGCCAAUAUGCUUUGUGCAUGCACCAAAUUAGGGUUUCCCAAGUAGUCCAGUCCACCCUCGCUGAAUAUCUGCGCACCAGCCUUGAACCACACUGCCUCCCCAAACUUGACCCCGUUGCGCGACAGAAGCUCCGGGAAGACGCAUCCGAGAGCUCCAAGCAUUGCCCACCUGCAGUGGAUGACCUCAAGCUCACGAUUCUUGGCGAAGGUCUCCGGAUCAGCUGAGAGGCCUGCAGUGUCCCAGCCAUAGUCACCAGGGAACUCACCAGUCAAGUAGGAUGGUGGCUCACCAGAGAAGGGCCCCAAGUACUUGACUCGGUCAGGGCCAUACCAGGGGCUUCCUGAAGAAACUGCUUUAGAUUUUGCCACAGAUUUUCUCAUUGUGACUCUUCCUUGAUCACCAGCAAGAAGCUCAGUGACAUUGGGUGCAAGCUUCACAGCUUGUCCAGCAAGGGAAGGAGAAGAGAGAGCCAUUGUUGAUGAAGUGGCCAUAGAUGUGUAGAGUGAAUAUUGGUUUUCUGAGUAGAGUUGAUGGUGUGGUGGUGUGGUGGUGUGAUUUAAUACCAUAUACUGAGGGGUCCAUAUUAUCCUUAUCACUAUCUUUAUCUCUUCUCCCAUUGGCGAAAAUGAAAGUUUUAAGGAUUUUCUUGGUGUUUGUUUGGAGUUGGCAUGCAUCAGCUUUCCUUCUCCUCCACCAAUUUCUUUGGAGAGUUGGUUUAUGCCUUAAUGGAUGUGGGGCAUUUCCAGCCUUUGCUUUAGAUUUCUUGGCCUCCGUGCACCUAAUCAAAGUUCCACACAUGUUGCUUUCAGAUGAGCUUUAGGAUGUGGACACUGGAGAGCCACGCAAAUUUCAAAAGUAAUAAAAUCUCAAUCUGAAGCAUGACAUGUGAUGAUGUAGAAUUUAUUAAGAGACAGUUAGUUGAGGUAGUGGAACUGUUGUUUUAAUGAAGAUAUUUUAUUAUCAAUAAAUAAAUAGAUAAUAAAAGCAACUAUUUUUCCGAGGUAAUUAAUUUUAUGCUAAUUGUAAACUAUCUUAAAAUUUUAAGACAUACAAUAUUUAACCUAUUUUAAAAAAUGUAAAUUUUAAGAUAAAAGUUACAUUGGACAAAGGUAGAUCUCUCUAUCUAUAUAUCAAUCCAUAUGUCUAUAUAUAUAUAUAUAUAUAUAUAUAUAUAUAUAUAUAUAUAUAUAUAUAUAUAUAUAUAUAUAUAUAAUAUAUUAAGGAUUGACAUGUGGUAUAGUGCAUGUUUCACCUUCUGAAAAGUGGUGGCCGUACCUCUACUUGUGACCUUCCUCUAUAACACAAGGAGAAAAUGAUUAGAGUGGGACAACCAAUUUAGCCAAUCCCUCUGUAAUGGUGAAGUUAGUUAUGGGUGGUUAGAGGGGUUAAUAGAAAGAUACUAAGAGAAUGAAUAAAGAUUUAGAAUGAUACCAAGUUGGCUCAAAUGAUCACUUAAUCCAAUAAGAAAGUGUAUAUAAACCCUUUAGAGGUACAAGGCCUAACUUUUGGCCAUUGUUUUCCCAAGUCUAGAAAAGAAAAUUUUAACCUCCCUUAAGAGAAAACCACAUUUUUCUUGUGCCAAAGAUCCAUAAAAAGAGUGAUCGGACGGAAAAUCUUUGGGUAUACAAAAUCUAUGACACCUAGGCUUUGACAUAUGAGUGAAACCUUAAAGUGGUUAUAUACUCCCUAUGAAUUGAGUCACUAUUGUGGAGGUUGUUGGCAACAGACAUUCUAAAUAGAAACAUCAUGAUAUCUCAUGGAAUUAAGACAUUGUUUCUUCUUAGGUGAUCCUAAGGACAUGCAAUUAAGAAACCUAUGAUCAUAGUAAUUUUGUAUAUACUCUUCGUAAACUAAAAUAUGUUAUUUGAUCACAAAAUAGGAGGAUCUAUAAUUCAAGAAUUUGAGAGUUAAUAUUAAGAUAAUGAUAGCAUAUACUUUGUUAGAUUAUAGAAACCAAUUCAUGGAGAGUCUGCAUGUAGUGGAUAGAAGGUUAGGGACCCAAGCUUUCUCUCGUUGUAAAAUUAUAGGAUACUAGAGUGCAAUUAACUCUUUAUAGUGUGAUGUUAAGUCAACUUCAAAAUUGGAUUUUGAGCGGGCCAAAAUUUUCCUAUAGGUCUCAAUGGUUCUUAUUUGAGCUUCUAAUUCAUCACUACACGUUUCUUUCAUGGAAUUAUGUUUUGUAAUUUGUUAGUAUGUAUAAAGGCAUCGGGGUAAAAUACAAUAUUACAUUAGAUCUUAUAAAUGGUCUUUUCAUAUUAGUUUAAUUAAUUAAUUAGAGCCUAAUAAGGAUAAUUAAUUAAUUAGAACAAGUAGGUUAGAUUAAAUGAACAAGCCCAAAUUGGGCUCAAGUCAUUUAAGCUCAUAAGAAAGCCUUCUAAACCCUCUUAGGGCUUAAAUAUUGGUCAUUAUUUCCCAAAUUCCAUAAAAGAAAACCCUAACCUUCCUGUAGAGAAAUGCCAACCUUCUCUUGUGUCAAAGAUCCAUGAAAUGAGUGAUCAAUCAGAAAAUCUUUGGGUAGACGAGAUUUAUGAUGCCUAUAAUAUGUUUCAUCUUAUUAGAAUCGAUUUGGGAACAUUAAUUUAGAUCGCAAGUAUGAUGCUUUUCUCUUUAAAUCUAUGUUAUUAUGGUUUUAAUUGUCAUGUUCUUCCACUGUGUUUAGAUUUGAAGAAGUUUAGGAAUAGUUAGCAUGCAUCCUACAAGAUCCAAGACCAAAGAAUGGAGUACUUCAAGUUUCCCUAUAGCUAGUUGACCACAAGUGCUUCACUAAUACACUUAGGACUAUGUUUCAGAUGGGGGUCAUUGAGGGGCCACUAUAUAAAUUUUCAUAUUCUUACAUAGCUACCUCUUCCCCCUCUAAGAUUUGAAAUGUUUUCCUCUUACUUUCAUAGGGGGUUCUAAUAAAAGAAAUAAAAACCCUAAUCCCAAAUUUGUCAAAGGCUCUUAGGAUCCCUAUGACACCACCUCAUAAGAGGGUGGUCGUAGGAGAGAAGUUUACCCAGUUCAAGACGAAAAAACCUGAGAAGGCAAAGUUGUCCCCCUCUCUCAUUAUAGAAGCUAUGUUCCCUAGCAGCUUCUCUCAACACAUAUCAAGCCUUUCUUCCACAACAUAUGCCAUCUCAAAUAACUCAUAAGGCAGGCAUCUUCCCCCCAAAUGAUUGAUUUUUCCAUUAAGUGGGACCUCACUAUGUGAAGCUCUCUAGGCAUAAGCCUACAACAUGAUAUUCUAAAGGAAGAGUGUCAUAAGAAGAGUUUCAAGCAUUGAAUAAGAUCAUCUCACCUUUGGACUCUCAACACCUUGAGUUUACAAUUGACGUGGUAUGAGGAUUUUUCUACUCACUUUUCUUCGUUUGCUGUUUUUUUCUAGUUUCUAACUAUUUUCCUUACAUGAUUACCUCUAAUUUUGUUUAUUCAAGUUUUCUAGUAAGUACCAUGAGCUAUUGAUGAAUCAAGUGAAGGAGGUGAAGUACCUAUGAUUGUCUUUCAAUAGAAAGGUCGUAGUCUAGGCCCAAGUUGAGGACCUGAUCUUAGCCUUGGAUAUAUAGUUGACCAAGAAAUUCAAGGAAUUGAGGAAAAAGGAGAAGGUGAUUGCAUUUCAAACAUCAAUUUCUAUAUUGUAUAUGAAAAACAAAGCCCUUUGAACCAAAGAACAUCUUUCUUGACUUCCAUAUUAAGCUUUUUUUUUAAGUUACAUGUUCUUUGAAUAAAUUAACCAAACUAGCAUGAAGCUCUUAUUGAGUUACAAAAAUGUUUUUGACUUCUUAAUAGUCAAUUCAAAUAAUAUCUACAUAAGAAAAUUGUUACAAGUUAAAAUGACUUAUCAAUUUGCUUCAACAAUAUACUUGAUAAAGUAAUUUUUUCGUAAAAAAUAAUAAUAAUAAGGAGAAUUUGAGUGGCAUGUCUAUUUAACAAAUCGAAUUGCAAAGUUUCCAAUUUGAGUAGUAUUGCUCAAUUAUGAUAUUUAAAGUCAUUGGAUGUACAAAGCUAAUACUAGAUUUUUGGGAUAUGACCAAGUUACUAUAAAGAUCAUAACUCAUAUGAGUCUUAGUUUAACAAAAAAAUUAUAUCACAUGUCAAAGAAUGGCAUUUGUUGAAUAACCAAUUUAAUAAAUAUAUCAUUUUUUGAAUGCAAUUGUACUUGGGUUGAGGAAGAAAACAUUAACAGGCUUAAAACCUCACAUUAUUUUUGCAUCAUUAAUUUGAUCCAAGCUCAAAUCCAUACAUAAAACUCAAAUUGUCUAAGGUGGUGUUUGUUUUUUGGCUUAAUAGAAAAAGUCAAAAUAUUUGGUUUUUUCUAUUCAGCUAAAAGUAACAUGUUGACAUCAUCCAACAUAACUAAACUGAACCUAUUGAUAACAAGUUCAUUUUAGCUAUAUUGGAUGAUGUCAACAACUUACUUUUAGCUUAAUAGAAAAAGCCAAAUAUUUUGGCUUUUUCUAUUCAGUCAAAAAACAAACACCACCUAAGUCUAAACUGAAAAAUCAUUGUCCGAUAGGGUAACACCCAAAGGAGGUGAGUGGGUGAAUUUAAAAUAUAUAUAUCAGAGCCAUCGGGAAGGGAAGUUGGGUCUUGUUUUGGGUGUUUUUGGCCUAUCCUAGGAUAGGUAGCAGUGUGCCUAGGAGAGCGAGCCCUGCCGAUUGAGUCGUUGUUAGUCGUGGAUAGGCGUUUGUUAAGCUGUAAGAGGGUUGGGGUGACGUCUCAUAAGGUUUGUCAAUCUGCUAUUAGGCUCUAGAUCAAAACCCUAAAAUGAGUUCAAUUUUCAGAACCAUGUCUAGGAGAUCCAGUGAUUCUCAAGAUACUGUUGUAAACAGUGAAGAGAUCAAUUAUCCUAAGAUCCAAAAUGAUUUAGAUGAUUGGAAGUUACCCAAGGUGUCUAAUCAAGAAAUUUAUAAGAAAGGAACCUUUAAGUUCUUCACAAAUUAUACCAUUAAGACCUCUGAAAUGUUAGUCAGCUUAGAACAAGACGACCAAGUCAUAAGACUUCUAGAUAACAGAUCCAUUGAAAAGCAUAAGAAAGAUGACUAUAAUUUCAUACACUUUGGUAUGAUUCAAGUAGCUGCUAAGCCUUUGACAAGAUUAGGUUUAAACACCUCUAUUGUCAUGUGUUUAAGGGAUAAUAGGCAUCUCGAAUAUCGAGAUUCUAUUAUAGGCGCAGUCCAAGCUGGACUGAAUGAUGGCCCAGUUUAUUUCCAGUGUUAUCCUAACUUCACAGUUAGAAUAAGAGAUGCAGACAUCUUAGAUUCCGUUGUCCUGCAUAUUAAGACCCAUGGCUUUAAGAUCAAACCAGGAAACAAUCCUGUUUCAAUCAUAACCAGGUUUGCCUAUAAGAGCAUGAACACAAGCGUUGGAUCUGGGGCUCUUUGCACCAGUCCUAAAGGUGAGACCACUUACUUUCAC
Molecule: long non-coding RNA, 16424 nt
Filed under: Vitis vinifera (wine grape)
Lineage: Eukaryota; Viridiplantae; Streptophyta; Magnoliopsida; Vitales; Vitaceae
Description: long non-coding RNA (VVIN_LNC003642)
Source: RNAcentral